GACGAACGCUGGCGGCGUGCUUAACACAUGCAAGUCGAACGGAAAGGCCCUGCUUGCAGGGUGCUCGAGUGGCGAACGGGUGAGUAAGACGUGGGUGAUCUGCCCCUUACUUUGGGAUAAGCCUGGGAAACUGGGUCUAAUACUGGAUAGGACCAUGCUGUAGGUGGUGUGGUGGAAAGAUUAGUUUCGGUAAGGGAUGAGCUCGCGGCCUAUCAGCUUGUUGGUGGGGUAAUGGCCUACCAAGGCGUCGACGGGUAGCCGGCCUGAGAGGGUGGACGGCCACAUUGGGACUGAGAUACGGCCCAGACUCCUACGGGAGGCAGCAGUGGGGAAUAUUGCACAAUGGGCGCAAGCCUGAUGCAGCGACGCCGCGUGGGGGAUGACGGCCUUCGGGUUGUAAACUCCUUUCAGCCAUGACGAAGCCCUUGUGGUGACGGUAGUGGUAGAAGAAGCACCGGCUAACUACGUG
RNAcentral lists this ribosomal RNA (469 nucleotides) under uncultured bacterium. RNAcentral's name for it is "partial 16S ribosomal RNA". It matches the Rfam family "Bacterial small subunit ribosomal RNA", at positions 28 to 507 of the family's 1533-position model. The record is from RNAcentral.